Molecule: long non-coding RNA, 2391 nt
Filed under: Bos grunniens (domestic yak)
Lineage: Eukaryota; Metazoa; Chordata; Mammalia; Artiodactyla; Bovidae
Description: lncRNA (ENSBGRG00000011127.1)
Source: RNAcentral
AUGCAUCCCACCCCAUCCCCCUUUCCCAAGAGAAACAAACGCCUCUCCGGUGGAGAGUCGGGGGCUGCUUCCCAGGAGGCGCGAGUGGGGCGGGUCCCCGAGGGAAAGCUGCUGGAGGCACGCCCCCUGGACCCCGGAGUUGGGAGUCCUGGUGACGGUGUCCCCGUUUCCGACCUCCCAGCCACCUCUCCCCGGGGCUUCGGCUCUCCAGUCCAGGAGCGGAACGGAGAGGGAUGCCUGCCUCGCGGGCUCUCGCACGUCCUUCCCGGCAAACCCGCCCCUCGCCUUCCCACCCCUAGUUACCUUAAGGAGACCGAGAGGAAAGUGCUGCUGCUCCGGCGUCCGAGCGGACGAGGGGCUUGGGGCAGCCCGACUGAGUCCCGACGCCCAGCCCAGCCGCCCGGCGCCAACGAGAAACUACUUGUUGGCGUUUUCCCGGUGCAGGUGGUUGGGCCGCUGCCCCGGGUACCGGGCUCGCACAGACAGCGCCCGCCGGCCGCCCGCGCCGCCCGCCCUCAUUCCGCGAGCGGCGGGCGCGCCCCGCGCCGACCUCGGCGCCGAGAGGCAGCAUCGCGCGGGGCUGGGCGGACCAUGGAGCUCGGGGCGGGCCCCGCCGGCGCGCCGCGACCCCGCCGGCAGCGGCCGCCGAGCGGCCCACCCGAGUCUGGGGGGCUCAUCCGCCCGCAGGAGAGCCCACCCGACCUACGCGGGCCGCAGGUCUCCUUCCGCCCCGCAGGCGGCCGCUGCCGGAGCCGCCCCUCCGCGCCGCUCGCCGCCGGCCUCUGCGCCCGAGCCCCGAGCUCGCGGAGCGGCGGGUGGGCGGCGGGUGGGUCUGGGGAAGCGCUGCUGUACCAACCAGGUUCAGCUCCUUUCCUUCAGGGAGACUCUGUCCCCGCCCUCUCUGGAGCGGCUGUCUGCCUUAUUUACACCCCACUCUCCACACCCUUUCUCUUCCCGCUACCCCACCCCUCCCAACAAGUGAGAGCGAAAAUCUGAGACCAAGUGUGUUUUUUUAUGUUUGUUUUUGUUUUUUUUCUUAAUGGCAGCUGAAGGGAGCAAGCUCUACUUACAGGUGACAAGUGAGUCCGGUCCCUUGCGUCUUAACCAUGGCUAUGGCUUGCUCUUUUCAGUGAAAUGUAGGUCUCCAGUCAGCACAUCAUGGUUAUAUAAAACAAAACAAGUUUUAAAAGUUUAUUCCAGGAACAUAAGGCUCUAGCAAGUGAAAAUUCAGGUUUAUCAGAAGCUUAAAAAGACAAACUACAGAUAUCCAAGUACCAAAGCAGUGAUCUCAUUAGCCGGUUUCUCCCUUUCUAAAAAUUUUAUUGGGCCCUGUAUUAGUUUGCUAGGGCUGUCAAUAAUAGAGUACCACGAACUGGAUUGUUUAAGCAGCAGAAAUUUAUUAUCCCCCAAUUCUGGAAACUCAAAGCUCCAAAUGAAGGUGUUGUCAGGGUUGGUUUCUUCUGAGGGCUGUGAGGAAUGGGUCUCUCCCAAGCCUUUCUCCUUGGUUUAUAGAUGGCUGUCUUCUCCCUUUGUCUGUACCUCAUUUUCCCUUUAUGCACGCCUGUCUCUGAACAAAUUUCUCCUUUAAACACUAGUCAUACUGGAUUAGGGCCCACUUUCAUGAUUUCAUUUUAACUUAAUUACAUCUGUAAAGACCCUAACCCCAAAGAAAGGGGCACUCUGAGGUACUGGAGGCUAGGAGUCCCACAUCUCUUUUUUGGGGCCGUGAUGAUUUGGGGGAGGUUUGAGGGGAAGCCUGAGACACAGUUCAACCCAUAUUAGAUCUUACCACCAAAUAGAGGGUGUGUUUCUGUGACUGUGCCUAUAUUUCUAGAAAGAAAAGGAUGGAGAAGAGCGAUCAUGGUCCAUGGAGGUAGUUUGAUAGGCUUGAAGUCCGUGGAGUAGGUGAGACACCAGGUUGUAUGUAGAAGGAAGUGCCUGAAAAACAGAUACUAACAUAGACACUAUGGAAAGAGCAAGAGUUGUGAGUUACUAAUGGAAACGUUUUAGCAAUAUACAAGACUACAAGAUAGGCAAUUAACUAUAAACAAUUCACUAAAGAAAAUUCCUACCUGUUAUGACUGUAAAUACCUAAACAAAGUGAAGAAAGAUCUUUGGAAGGGCACUGAUGUCCAGGAAACUAAUGCCAGAAAAUAUGGUAAGUAUACAUUUGUAAGAAAUUUACUAACAGUAUGACAGUAAAUGUGUAAUAAUAACCUACCUAGCCUUGUGAAAGUAUAAAUUUGUUUUACUAACAUGUAAAGAAAUGUAACACUUAAAUACUGAGGUAAUAAUUCUAGUUACAAAGUCAUGGAGCCAUUUCCUAAAAGAACAGUAAUAGUAUAUUCAGUUGUCAGAAAUUUACAAAGAAAAAUUAUAUUCAAAUUCUAA